GGACCAUGGGCUAUCAUUUUCUUUUUCUUCUCUCUCUCUUUUUUUAAGUGGAUACCGAGGUACCCCCGAAUUCUACUGUCACACACUUGUCCAUUUUUUUUCUGCGAGGUUAUCGAGCACUUGCUCCUUUUUAUUUCCUUGAAAUAUCCUUAUUUUUGCAUAGCCCAUGCCUCUAAUACAAUAAUACUUCGGAAGAGUGAAUCUUUCUGAAAUAAUGUCUUGAUCUUAGGAGCAUGAUAAAUCUCUUAACAAGGGUCU
RNAcentral lists this long non-coding RNA (258 nucleotides) under Sorghum bicolor (sorghum). RNAcentral's name for it is "long non-coding RNA (SBIC_LNC012234)". The record is from RNAcentral. Lineage: Eukaryota; Viridiplantae; Streptophyta; Magnoliopsida; Poales; Poaceae.